Molecule: transfer RNA, 72 nt
Organism: Camelus ferus (Wild Bactrian camel)
Lineage: Eukaryota; Metazoa; Chordata; Mammalia; Artiodactyla; Camelidae
Rfam family: tRNA
About the family: Transfer RNA (tRNA) molecules are approximately 80 nucleotides in length. Their secondary structure includes four short double-helical elements and three loops (D, anti-codon, and T loops).
Source: Rfam
GGAGGUAUAGCUCAGUGGUAGAGUGUGUGCUUGGUAUGCGUGAAGUCCUGGGUUCAAUUCCCAGUUCCUCCA